Molecule: ribosomal RNA, 406 nt
Filed under: uncultured bacterium
Lineage: Bacteria
Description: partial 16S ribosomal RNA
Rfam family: Bacterial small subunit ribosomal RNA
Source: RNAcentral
AUUGAACGCUGGCGGCAGGCCUAACACAUGCAAGUCGAACGAGUGGCGGACGGGUGAGUAAUGACUGGGAAACUGGCUGAUGGAGGGGGAUAACUACGGGAAACUGUAGCUAAUACCGCGUACCAUAGGAUGAGCCCAAAUGGGAUUAGGUAGUUGGUGAGGUAAAGGCUCACCAAGCCGACGAUCCCUAGCUGGUCUGAGAGGAUGACCAGCCACACUGGGACUGAGACACGGCCCAGACUCCUACGGGAGGCAGCAGUGGGGAAUAUUGCGCAAUGGGGGCAACCCUGACGCAGCCAUGCCGCGUGAAUGAAGAAGGCCUUCGGGUUGUAAAGUUCUUUCGGUAGGGAGGCGUUAACUGCAGAAGAAGCACCGGCUAACUCCGUGCCAGCAGCCGCGGUAAUAC